RNAcentral lists this ribosomal RNA (368 nucleotides) under uncultured bacterium. RNAcentral describes it as "bacterial SSU rRNA". It matches the Rfam family "Bacterial small subunit ribosomal RNA", at positions 528 to 896 of the family's 1533-position model. The record is from RNAcentral.
GAGGGUGCGAGCGUUAAUCGGAAUUACUGGGCGUAAAGCGCACGUAGGCGGCUUGGCAUGUCGGGUGUGAAAUCCCGGGCUCAACCUGGGAACUGCAUCCGAAACUGCCUUGCUAGAGUAUGGGAGAGGGAAGUGGAAUUUCCGGUGUAGCGGUGAAAUGCGUAGAUAUCGGAAGGAACAUCAGUGGCGAAGGCGACUUCCUGGACCAAUACUGACGCUCAGGUGCGAAAGCGUGGGGAGCAAACAGGAUUAGAUACCCUGGUAGUCCACGCCCUAAACGAUGACAACUAGAUGUCGGGAGGGUUUGCCUUCCGGUGUCGUAGCUAACGCGUUAAGUUGUCCGCCUGGGAAGUACGGCCGCAAGGUUG